GACGAACCGAGCGAACGUUGUUCGGAAUCACUGGCUUAAAGGGCGCGUAGGCGGGUGCUCAAGUCUGUGGUGAAAUCCUCCAGCUUAACUGGAGAACUGCCAUGGAUACUGGGUGUCUCGAGGAAGAUAGGGGUAUGCGGAACGAUUGGUGGAGCGGUGAAAUGCGUUGAUAUCAAUCGGAACUCCGGUGGCGAAGGCGGCAUACUGGAUCUUAUCUGACGCUGAGGCGCGAAGCUAGGGAGCAAACGGG
RNAcentral lists this ribosomal RNA (250 nucleotides) under uncultured bacterium. Its description in RNAcentral is "partial 16S ribosomal RNA". It matches the Rfam family "Bacterial small subunit ribosomal RNA", at positions 524 to 776 of the family's 1533-position model. The record is from RNAcentral.